GCAGUCGUGGCCGAGUGGUAAAGGCGACGGACUAGAAAUUCAUUGGGGUCUGCCCGCACAGGUUCGAAUCCUGUCGACUGCG
This is a non-coding RNA of Ixodes scapularis (black-legged tick), 82 nucleotides long. The record is from Rfam. NCBI's taxonomy places the organism in Eukaryota, Metazoa, Arthropoda, Arachnida, Ixodida, Ixodidae.